GAUGAACGCUAGCGGCAGGCUUAACACAUGCAAGUUGAACGGUGAAGCAGGAGCUUGCUCUUGUGGAUCAGUGGCGAACGGGUGAGUAACACGUGAGUAACCUGCCCCAGACUCUGGGAUAAGCACUGGAAACGGUGUCUAAUACCGGAUACGAGCUUCAACCGCAUGGUUAGGAGCUGGAAAGAAUUUCGGUCUGGGAU
RNAcentral lists this ribosomal RNA (200 nucleotides) under uncultured bacterium. RNAcentral describes it as "partial 16S ribosomal RNA". It matches the Rfam family "Bacterial small subunit ribosomal RNA", at positions 28 to 226 of the family's 1533-position model. The record is from RNAcentral.